GAGGAGAGUGCAUUGGUGGUGGCGGGGACUUGUACUUGUAAACUGGUGUUGGUGGUGGUGGAGAGUGCAUUGGUGGUGGUGGAGACUUGUAUUUGUAGACCGGUGUUGGUGGUGGUGGGGAAUGCUCGGGUGGUGGUGGAGAUUUAUAAACUGGAGUUGGUGGUGGUGGAGACUUGUACUUGUAAUGGUGUACUGGUGCGGGAGAAUGCUUAGGUGGUGGUGGAGACUUGUACUUGUAGACGGGUGUUGGAGGUGGUGGAGAUUUAUACUUGUAGACCGGUGUUGGUGGUGGUGGAGACUUGUACUUAUAGUGAUGUUCUGGUGCGGGAGAAUGCUUAGGUGGUGGUGGAGACUUGUACUUAUAGUGAUGUUCUGGUGCAGGAGAAUGCUUAGGUGGUGGUGGAGAUUUGUACUUAUAAACCGGUGUUGGUGGUGGUGGAGACUUGUACUUAUAAUGAUGCACUGGUGCGGGGGAAUGCUUAGGUGGUGGUGGAGAUUUAUACUUGUAAACCGGUGUUGGUGGUGGUGGAGAAUGUUUUGGCGGAGGUGGAGACUCAAAAUGAUAAGGCGUUGGAGGAGAAUGCAUAGGAGGUGGUGGAGACUUGUACUUGUAAACCGGUGUAGGUGGUGGUGGAGAAUGUUUAGGCGGGGGCGGGGAUUUGUAGUGGUAAGGCGGAGGAGGAGAAUGCUCCGGGGGUGGAGGAGAAUGCUCGGGAGGUGGUGGAGAGGAGUAAGAGUAUUUAGCUGUGGUUUGUGAAGCCAAAUUGAGGGACACCAAUACUACAAGCAAAGACACAAUGAGAGACCUCAUUUUGGAGCCUCUAGCAAUCCUUCCCAUGUUUACUACAACCAAAAGGCU
Molecule: long non-coding RNA, 859 nt
Filed under: Daucus carota (carrot)
Lineage: Eukaryota; Viridiplantae; Streptophyta; Magnoliopsida; Apiales; Apiaceae
Description: long non-coding RNA (DCAR_LNC006454)
Source: RNAcentral